GGAUUUUGGCUUAGUGGUAGAGUGCUCGUCUGGCACAUGUGAAGCACUGGGUUCGAUCCUCAAUACCA
RNAcentral lists this transfer RNA (68 nucleotides) under Marmota monax (woodchuck). RNAcentral describes it as "tRNA.Ala". Lineage: Eukaryota; Metazoa; Chordata; Mammalia; Rodentia; Sciuridae. The record is from RNAcentral.